UAAGUUGGUAGUGAAAGCGUUCGGCUCAACCGGAUAUCCAUUAUCAAAACUGCUCAGCUAGAGGACGAGAGAGGUACCUGGAAUUCCUAGUGUAGGAGUGAAAUCCGUAGAUAUUAGGAGGAACACCGAUGGCGUAGGCAGGGUACUGGCUCGUUCCUGACACUAAGGCACGAAAGCGUGGGGAGCAAACGGGAUUAGAUACCCCGGUAGUCCACGCCGUAAACGAUGGAUGCUA
RNAcentral lists this ribosomal RNA (235 nucleotides) under uncultured Candidatus Saccharibacteria bacterium. Its description in RNAcentral is "partial 16S ribosomal RNA". It matches the Rfam family "Bacterial small subunit ribosomal RNA", at positions 584 to 818 of the family's 1533-position model. Lineage: Bacteria; Candidatus Saccharimonadota. The record is from RNAcentral.